GGGAGUCCGGAAGCAAAAAUAUAAAAGAAAUGAAUGGGGGCGGCCCCAAACAAGGGGUGGAUGGUUUUAAUUAAUUCGAAGCAGAAGGAAAUUCCUUACUUUUCCCUGCCAUGUAAGGAAUUAGAAAUAGAUUGGGAAGUUCUGGCAAUAGAACCCGAGUGCAGGUGGGGCAUGGCCGUCGUCAGCUGGUGUAGUGAGAUGUUGGGUUAAGUCCCGCAACGAGCGCAAUCCUUGUCAUUAGGUGGUUCGAAAGGGCACUCUAAUGAGACUGCCGGUGACAAACCGGAGGAAGGUGGGGAUGACGUCAAGUCCUCAUGGCCCUUAUGGGUAGGGCUUCACACGUCAUACAAUGGUCGGGACAGAGGGUCGCCAACCCGCGAGGGGGAGCCAAUCCCAGAAACCCGAUCGUAGUCCGGAUCGCAGUCUGCAACUCGACUGCGUGAAGUCGGAAUCGCUAGUAAUCGCGGAUCAGCAUGUCGCGGUGAAUACGUUCCCGGGUCUUGUACACACCGCCCGUCACACCAUGGGAGUGGUUUUACCAGAAGUAGUUAGCCUAACCUUAAGGUGGCGAUUACCACGGUGGGAUCAGACUGGGGUGAAGUCGUAACCAAGGUAACCGGA
RNAcentral lists this ribosomal RNA (621 nucleotides) under Achromobacter kerstersii. RNAcentral describes it as "bacterial SSU rRNA". It matches the Rfam family "Bacterial small subunit ribosomal RNA", at positions 876 to 1504 of the family's 1533-position model. The record is from RNAcentral. Lineage: Bacteria; Pseudomonadati; Pseudomonadota; Betaproteobacteria; Burkholderiales; Alcaligenaceae.